Molecule: ribosomal RNA, 253 nt
Filed under: uncultured bacterium
Lineage: Bacteria
Description: partial 16S ribosomal RNA
Rfam family: Bacterial small subunit ribosomal RNA
Source: RNAcentral
UACGUAGGGUGCGAGCGUUGUCCGGAAUUAUUGGGCGUAAAGAGCUUGUAGGCGGUCUGUCGCGUCUGCUGUGAAAAUCCGGGGCUCAACCCCGGACUUGCAGUGGGUACGGGCAGACUAGAGUGUGGUAGGGGAGACUGGAAUUCCUGGUGUAGCGGUGAAAUGCGUAGAUAUCUGGAGGAACACCGGUGGCGAAGGCGGCAUCCUGGACCAAUUCUGACGCUGAGGAGCGAAAGCCAGGGGAGCAAACGGG